Molecule: ribosomal RNA, 234 nt
Filed under: uncultured bacterium
Lineage: Bacteria
Description: partial 16S ribosomal RNA
Rfam family: Bacterial small subunit ribosomal RNA
Source: RNAcentral
CGACGGGUGAGUAACACGUAUCCAACCUGCCGUCUACUCUUGGACAGCCUUCUGAAAGGAAGAUUAAUACAAGAUGGCAUCAUGAGUCCGCAUGUUCACAUGAUUAAAGGUAUUCCGGUAGACGAUGGGGAUGCGUUCCAUUAGAUAGUAGGCGGGGUAACGGCCCACCUAGUCUUCGAUGGAUAGGGGUUCUGAGAGGAAGAUCCCCCACAUUGGAACUGAGACACGGUCCAA